GGUUAAGUGACUAAGCGUACAUGGUGGAUGCCUUGGCAGUCAGAGGCGAUGAAGGACGUACUAACCUGCGAUAAGCUGUGAGAAGUCGGUAAGAGACGCUAUUACUCACAGAUUUCCGAAUGGGGAAACCCACCCAGCAUAAGCUGGGUAUCUAUUACUGAAUACAUAGGUAAUAGAGGCGAACCGGGAGAACUGAAACAUCUAAGUACCCCGAGGAAAAGAAAUCAACCGAGAUUCCCUCAGUAGCGGCGAGCGAACGGGGAUUAGCCCUUAAGUUUCUUGGAAGUUAGUGGAAUGGUCCUGGAAAGGCCAGCGAUACAGGGUGAUAGCCCCGUACAUGAAAACGACCUUGAAGUGAAAUCGAGUAGGGCGGGACACGUGACAUCCUGUCUGAAUAUGGGGGGACCAUCCUCCAAGGCUAAAUACUCCUGACUGACCGAUAGUGAACCAGUACCGUGAGGGAAAGGCGAAAAGAACCCCUGUGAGGGGAGUGAAAUAGAACCUGAAACCGUGUACGUACAAGCAGUGGGAGCCCUUCGGGGUGACUGCGUACCUUUUGUAUAAUGGGUCAGCGACUUACAUUUUGUAGCGAGGUUAACCGUAUAGGGGAGCCGUAGGGAAACCGAGUCUUAACUGGGCGUCUAGUUGCAAGGUGUAGACCCGAAACCGGGUGAUCUAGCCAUGGGCAGGUUGAAGGUUGAGUAACAUCAACUGGAGGACCGAACCCACUAACGUUGCAAAGUUAGGGGAUGACCUGUGGCUGGGGGUGAAAGGCCAAUCAAACUCGGAGAUAGCUGGUUCUCCCCGAAAGCUAUUUAGGUAGCGCCUCGGACGAAUACUACUGGGGGUAGAGCACUGUUUGGACUAGGGGGUCAUCCCGACUUACCAACUCCAUGCAAACUCCGAAUACCAGUAAGUAAUAUCCGGGAGACACACGGCGGGUGCUAACGUCCGUCGUGAAGAGGGAAACAACCCAGACCGCCGGCUAAGGUCCCAAAGUUCUGGUUAAGUGGGAAACGAUGUGGGAAGGCUCAGACAGCUAGGAUGUUGGCUUAGAAGCAGCCAUCAUUUAAAGAAAGCGUAAUAGCUCACUAGUCGAGUCGGCCUGCGCGGAAGAUGUAACGGGGCUCAAACCAGGCACCGAAGCCGCGGAUUCACACUUAUGUGUGAGUGGUAGGGGAGCGUUCUGUAAGUCUGCGAAGGUGU
Molecule: ribosomal RNA, 1206 nt
Filed under: Aeromonas rivipollensis
Lineage: Bacteria; Pseudomonadati; Pseudomonadota; Gammaproteobacteria; Aeromonadales; Aeromonadaceae
Description: partial 23S ribosomal RNA
Rfam family: Bacterial large subunit ribosomal RNA
Source: RNAcentral